AUACAUGCAGUCGAGCGGACUUGAUGAGGAGCUUGCUCCUCUGAUAGUUAGCGGCGGACGGGUGAGUAACACGUAGGCAACCUGCCCUCAAGACUGGGAUAACUACCGGAAACGGUAGCUAAUACCGGAUAAUUUAUUUUGCCACAUGGCGGAAUAAUGAAAGGCGGAGCAAUCUGCCACUUGAGGAUGGGCCUGCGGCGCAUUAGCUAGUUGGUGGGGUAAUGGCCCACCAAGGCGACGAUGCGUAGCCGACCUGAGAGGGUGAACGGCCACACUGGGACUGAGACACGGCCCAGACUCCUACGGGAGGCAGCAGUAGGGAAUCUUCCGCAAUGGACGAAAGUCUGACGGAGCAACGCCGCGUGAGUGAUGAAGGUUUUCGGAUCGUAAAGCUCUGUUGCCAGGGAAGAACGCUUAGGAGAGUAACUGCUCCUGAGGUGACGGUACCUGAGAAGAAAGCCCCGGCUAACUACGUGCCAGCAGCCGCGGUAAUACGUAGGGGGCAAGCGUUGUCCGGAAUUAUUGGGCGUAAAGCGCGCGCAGGCGGUUCUUUAAGUCUGGUGUUUAAACCUGGGGCUCAACUUCAGGUCGCACUGGAAACUGGGGGACUUGAGUACAGAAGAGGAGAGUGGAAUUCCACGUGU
This 644-nucleotide ribosomal RNA is filed under the name Paenibacillus uliginis. RNAcentral describes it as "bacterial SSU rRNA". It matches the Rfam family "Bacterial small subunit ribosomal RNA", at positions 51 to 676 of the family's 1533-position model. The record is from RNAcentral. Lineage: Bacteria; Bacillati; Bacillota; Bacilli; Caryophanales; Paenibacillaceae.